This 2908-nucleotide ribosomal RNA is filed under the name Serratia marcescens. RNAcentral describes it as "23S ribosomal RNA". It matches the Rfam family "Bacterial large subunit ribosomal RNA". Lineage: Bacteria; Pseudomonadati; Pseudomonadota; Gammaproteobacteria; Enterobacterales; Yersiniaceae. The record is from RNAcentral.
GGUUAAGUGACUAAGCGUACACGGUGGAUGCCUAGGCAGUCAGAGGCGAUGAAGGGCGUGCUAAUCUGCGAAAAGCGUCGGUAAGGUGAUAUGAACCGUUACAACCGGCGAUACCCGAAUGGGGAAACCCAGUGUGUUUCGACACACUAUCAUGUCAUGAAUACAUAGUGGCAUGAGGCGAACCGGGGGAACUGAAACAUCUAAGUACCCCGAGGAAAAGAAAUCAACCGAGAUUCCCCCAGUAGCGGCGAGCGAACGGGGAGGAGCCCAGAACCUGAAUCGGCUUGUGUGUUAGUGGAAGCGUCUGGAAAGUCGCGCAGCAAAGGGUGAUAGCCCCGUACACUAAAAUGCACAGGUCGUGAGUUCGAUGAGUAGGGCGGGACACGUGACAUCCUGUCUGAAUAUGGGGGGACCAUCCUCCAAGGCUAAAUACUCCUGACUGACCGAUAGUGAACCAGUACCGUGAGGGAAAGGCGAAAAGAACCCCGGCGAGGGGAGUGAAAUAGAACCUGAAACCGUGUACGUACAAGCAGUGGGAGCACCUUCGUGGUGUGACUGCGUACCUUUUGUAUAAUGGGUCAGCGACUUAUAUUUUGUAGCAAGGUUAACCGUAUAGGGGAGCCGUAGGGAAACCGAGUCUUAACUGGGCGAAUAGUUGCAAGGUAUAGACCCGAAACCCGGUGAUCUAGCCAUGGGCAGGUUGAAGGUUGGGUAACACUAACUGGAGGACCGAACCGACUAAUGUUGAAAAAUUAGCGGAUGACUUGUGGCUGGGGGUGAAAGGCCAAUCAAACCGGGAGAUAGCUGGUUCUCCCCGAAAGCUAUUUAGGUAGCGCCUCGUGAACUCAUCUUCGGGGGUAGAGCACUGUUUCGGCUAGGGGGCCAUCCCGGCUUACCAAACCGAUGCAAACUCCGAAUACCGAAGAAUGUUAUCACGGGAGACACACGGCGGGUGCUAACGUCCGUCGUGAAGAGGGAAACAACCCAGACCGCCAGCUAAGGUCCCAAAGUCAUGGUUAAGUGGGAAACGAUGUGGGAAGGCAUAGACAGCCAGGAUGUUGGCUUAGAAGCAGCCAUCAUUUAAAGAAAGCGUAAUAGCUCACUGGUCGAGUCGGCCUGCGCGGAAGAUGUAACGGGGCUAAACCAUGCACCGAAGCUGCGGCAGCGACGCUUAGGCGUUGUUGGGUAGGGGAGCGUUCUGUAAGCCGUUGAAGGUGGCCUGUGAGGGUUGCUGGAGGUAUCAGAAGUGCGAAUGCUGACAUAAGUAACGAUAAAGCGGGUGAAAAGCCCGCUCGCCGGAAGACCAAGGGUUCCUGUCCAACGUUAAUCGGGGCAGGGUGAGUCGACCCCUAAGGCGAGGCUGAAAAGCGUAGUCGAUGGGAAACAGGUUAAUAUUCCUGUACUUGGUGUUACUGCGAAGGGGGGACGGAGAAGGCUAGGCUAGCCGGGCGACGGUUGUCCCGGUUUAAGCGUGUAGGGGGUGUGACCUGGUAAAUCCGGUUGCAUAUCAACCCUGAGGCGUGAUGACGAUGCACUACGGUGCAGAAGUAGUUGAUGCCCUGCUUCCAGGAAAAGCCUCUAAGCUCUAGGUAACAUUAAAUCGUACCCCAAACCGACACAGGUGGUCAGGUAGAGAAUACCAAGGCGCUUGAGAGAACUCGGGUGAAGGAACUAGGCAAAAUGGUGCCGUAACUUCGGGAGAAGGCACGCUGGCAUGUAGGUGAAGUCCCUUGCGGAUGGAGCUGAAGCCAGUCGAAGAUACCAGCUGGCUGCAACUGUUUAAUAAAAACACAGCACUGUGCAAACACGAAAGUGGACGUAUACGGUGUGACGCCUGCCCGGUGCUGGAAGGUUAAUUGAUGGGGUCAGCCGCAAGGCGAAGCUCUUGAUCGAAGCCCCAGUAAACGGCGGCCGUAACUAUAACGGUCCUAAGGUAGCGAAAUUCCUUGUCGGGUAAGUUCCGACCUGCACGAAUGGCGUAAUGAUGGCCAGGCUGUCUCCACCCGAGACUCAGUGAAAUUGAACUCGCUGUGAAGAUGCAGUGUACCCGCGGCAAGACGGAAAGACCCCGUGAACCUUUACUAUAGCUUGACACUGAACAUUGAGCCUUGAUGUGUAGGAUAGGUGGGAGGCUUUGAAGCGUGGACGCCAGUCUGCGUGGAGCCAUCCUUGAAAUACCACCCUUUAAUGUUUGAUGUUCUAACUCGGCCCCGUGAUCCGGGGUGAGGACAGUGUCUGGUGGGUAGUUUGACUGGGGCGGUCUCCUCCCAAAGAGUAACGGAGGAGCACGAAGGUUAGCUAAUCACGGUCGGACAUCGUGAGGUUAGUGCAAAGGCAUAAGCUAGCUUGACUGCGAGAGUGACGGCUCGAGCAGGUACGAAAGUAGGUCUUAGUGAUCCGGUGGUUCUGAAUGGAAGGGCCAUCGCUCAACGGAUAAAAGGUACUCCGGGGAUAACAGGCUGAUACCGCCCAAGAGUUCAUAUCGACGGCGGUGUUUGGCACCUCGAUGUCGGCUCAUCACAUCCUGGGGCUGAAGUAGGUCCCAAGGGUAUGGCUGUUCGCCAUUUAAAGUGGUACGCGAGCUGGGUUUAGAACGUCGUGAGACAGUUCGGUCCCUAUCUGCCGUGGGCGUUGGAAGAUUGAGAGGGGUUGCUCCUAGUACGAGAGGACCGGAGUGAACGCACCACUGGUGUUCGGGUUGUCAUGCCAAUGGCAUUGCCCGGUAGCUAAGUGCGGAAAAGAUAAGCGCUGAAAGCAUCUAAGCGCGAAACUUGCCUCAAGAUGAGUCUUCCCUGGGCCUUUAAGGCCCCUGAAGGAACGUUUAAGACUAAGACGUUGAUAGGCUGGGUGUGUAAGUGCAGCGAUGCAUUGAGCUAACCAGUACUAAUGAUCCGUGAGGCUUAACCUU